GGAUUAUUGGACAAUGGACGCAAGCCUGAUCCAGCCAUGCCGCGUGAGUGAUGAAGGCCCUAGGGUUGUAAAGCUCUUUCACCGGUGAAGAUAAUGACGGUAACCGGAGAAGAAGCCCCGGCUAACUUCGUGCCAGCAGCCGCGGUAAUACGAAGGGGGCUAGCGUUGUUCGGAAUUACUGGGCGUAAAGCGCACGUAGGCGGGUAUUUAAGUCAGGGGUGAAAUCCCAGAGCGCAACUCUGGAACUGCCUUUGAUACUGGGUAUCUUGAGUAUGGAAGAGGUAAGUGGAAUUCCGAGUGUAGAGGUGAAAUUCGUAGAUAUUCGGAGGAACACCAGUGGCGAAGGCGGCUUACUGGGCCAUUACUGACGCUGAGGUGCGAAAGCGUGGGGAGCAAACA
RNAcentral lists this ribosomal RNA (399 nucleotides) under uncultured Shinella sp. Its description in RNAcentral is "bacterial SSU rRNA". It matches the Rfam family "Bacterial small subunit ribosomal RNA", at positions 358 to 774 of the family's 1533-position model. Lineage: Bacteria; Pseudomonadati; Pseudomonadota; Alphaproteobacteria; Hyphomicrobiales; Rhizobiaceae. The record is from RNAcentral.